UACGAGGGGGGCGAGCGUUGUUCGGAGUUACUGGGCGGAAAGGGCGCGUAGGCGGCGCACCAAGUCAGGCGUGAAAGCCCUGGGCUCAACCCGGGAAUUGCGCUUGAGACUGGUGUGCUUGAGUACGGGAGAGGAUAGUGGAAUUCCCAGUGUAGAGGUGAAAUUCGUAGAUAUUGGGAAGAACACCGGUGGCGAAGGCGGCUAUCUGGACCGUAACUGACGCUGAGGCGCGAAAGCGUGGGGAGCAAACAGG
Molecule: ribosomal RNA, 253 nt
Filed under: uncultured bacterium
Lineage: Bacteria
Description: partial 16S ribosomal RNA
Rfam family: Bacterial small subunit ribosomal RNA
Source: RNAcentral